Long non-coding RNA from Zea mays, 4713 nucleotides. RefSeq lists it as uncharacterized. Lineage: Eukaryota; Viridiplantae; Streptophyta; Magnoliopsida; Poales; Poaceae. The transcript is spliced from 5 exons. The record is from RefSeq and is a predicted model, not a curated record.
ACGCAGUGAGGGCGUCCACAGAGCAUACCGUGCCCCCGCCCUCCGCCAAUCUCGCAGCUGUCACCAGCGCCCGCCCCAUCCAUGGCGCCCAACGCAUUCAACACCGGAUCCCCCGCCAAUCUCGCAGCCGUCACCAGCCCCGUCCCCGCAGCCGUCACCAACGCCCGCCCCAUCCAUGCCGCCCAACGAAUUCAACCCCAGAUCCCUCGGUAUGGUGCCGGAGACCGCGCCCUUCCCACCUUCCCCACCGGAUCCGGCAUGGCAGAUCCAUGGCGCCCACCGGAUCCCUCUCCCUUGCCCUCUUCAAUACCGGAUCGACCGCGCCAUUCACCACCGCACUCACCUACUAUCGAUGGCCCGUCCACCAUUAUCGAUGGCCCGCCCGCCUCGCUGGCUCCCCUCUCCCUCCUCUCUCGCUCCACCCCUCCCAACUGCCCCUAGCCUAACUCGGGCCACAGAGCGGCCGCCCCCUUCACCGGAGAGGUGGCAUCCCACGUCGGACGCAGAGGUGCACCUGCGUCGGCGCCACGACACUUGACCCAGGUGAGGUCGCUGUCGAUGCCACCAUGUCUUCUUCAUCUAUCUACUAGCCUCAUCUCGCCGGCGACGAGAUCCACCGCACCGCCUUCCUUCCCGUAUUCCCUCGCCGUCCCAUUCUAUAAGGAUCUCCGCCGUCAUCCCGGGAUAGUUCUCCGAGAUCAGCCCCAUGUGGCCUGGUGCGUCCCGCUGCUCUGCUUGUGGGCGUCCACAUUUGCUUCACCGUGCCCCGCCAGCCGCAGCUCCGUGCGCAAGGAGAGAAACAUGGGGACCUGAUCCUGGACGAUCGCAGGGACAACAUGGAGCUGUCGAUUGUUGGAUCGGAUAGCAGGGUCUUGGGCGCCACCGUGGCGCACGAGCUUAGAGCGUGUGCAUCCAACAGCAGGUGAGCGGCGGCGUGCACGGUAAGCCGCAGGGCAGCACGGGCCAUGAGCACGAAAUCUGCCUCCACGGUUUCGUGCCUGACUAGGUGGGGAUUGGCUGCAUAGAAGAAACACACAUCAGAUCAAUAUAUGCUUAACGAGUGCUUGAUUAAAUGCUGGAACAAAACAUCGUGUCCUAGGUGACAAUGGUCUCUAAGUAAGGCGAGAAUGGCCACCCAUGGGAAUCACUGGAUCUGUUUGCGCUCGUCAUCUGGUCCAGCACUAGGUCUUGAGCAUGAGUAGUGUAGGAGCUCCAGGACCAGUUCUUCCCCUUCUCACAGAAUCGCCCUCCCUGAGGUGCCAAACCUUCUAAUUUUGUAUAACUUCAAUGAAUCCUUGAAAAAGCAUUGAUGCUUUGUAACUGGUUGCAUACACCUCACAUAUUUUUUCAUCUAUGUGUCCAACUGCAAUGCAUUAGAAUUCAGCUAUGAUAUGGCAUAAUAGAUUAUAACAGUAGUGCUUUUCUUUAGUUCCACAUACACUAUGUUGAUGCUUCUAAAAAUUCUAGGUUUACUUUAAUGUAUAUACAUACACUAUAUCUCUGUUAUUGUGAACUUGAUUCUUUUCUCCUUUUUUCUGAACAUUUUCCUGGAAUAGGAAUAACCUCAAACUUGUGUGCCUUAAUAAAUCUUGAUUUAAUGGCAGAUAUUGAAACCCUUGAAGUUGAGAGUGCCACAAAUGGAGAUAAGAAUCUAGAUAAUGCUCUUAUGUGGCACGAUAAGAAAAACAUAAGGGUCACAAAAAUAUUUUAAGUUUUAUGUGGUUUCAGUUCUUGCAAAAGUAAAGUAGUUCUGAUCGCAGAAAUAUUUUGCUCUUUUUAAUUCCUUGGUAUAUGUACAUUGACAAGUAUGUGAUAUUAUAAUAUUUGAAGAGUUGCCAUUUUGAUCAUCAUCUUCAUUUAUACUUUUUAGGUCAGAUCUAUUAAAGCAUCAGCAUUAAUUUUACAAGCUUUUGGUUUAGUUGUAUGUGAUAUUAGCUUAAUGUUUGGGUCAGAUCUAAUCAUGUAGUGUACAAUGCAUGUUUGUUUCCAAAUACUACUAAAUUAACUAUAAACAUUAAGCUUUAAUGCAGCUAUCUGCAAUUUUUAAAUACUAUGCUUUCCCCGGUCUGUCCUUUUCAUCAUUCAUAUCCUCCCGGCUCUAAACUUGCAGGGACUUGAGCAACAACUACUUGCACGAUUCAAUUCCUUACCAGCUGCCAUCAAACCUUACCUAUCUGAACCUGGCGAAAAACAACUUCUCUGGUAAUCUUCCGUACUGCAUAUCCAACUUGGUCUCGCUUGAGUACCUGUAAGUUACUAUUCCAUUGGUAAAGAUGUGAUUUGUUCAGUGAUGAUAUUUUUGGUUAGCACAAUCUAACUGCAGUGAACCACUGCCUGCAACAACCUUAGCCACAACUCGUUGUUUCAGGAAAUUGGAGAAUUGUUUGGAAGCCUCAGUUCACUCGCAGAACUGUAAGGCAUACUGAACCGCUGUUUUCGUACGCAAGCUCGACUUGAGUAUUGUGUGGUUGAAAUUUUUGAUCCUGUACAAACUAUUUCAGUAUUGACUGUUUUCUUCAUUAGAAAAUAAGUGUAAUUUUGAGCACAUAUAUAAUAUUCAAAAUAUAACAUUGCCACCAAAUAAAAAUGCAACAUACUUCAUCUGGCCACAAAUUUAAGCCCUUCUACGUCUGUCCUAAGUCAAAAAAAAGUUAACUCUGACUAACAAUAUAUUAUCUGAGAUUAAAAUUUAUUAUAUUAUAAAAUUAGUUUGUUUGCAGAUACAACUUUUUUUAGGAAAAUGUUUUUUUAAAAAAAUGCAUUCACAAUCACUUGAUCUGUCCAAGUGAGGAUGAUGAUAUUGUCAGUAUGAUGAUUAACUGCUCUUAACCCUAUGAAUUUCAUCGUAUUAUAACUACAAUCCUUGGAGAGACAUAUCUUACAACAACCUCACGAGAAUCUUCCUUUCUCAAUGGGCUCUCUGUCAAAACUUUCUAGCCUCUAAGUAUUAUUCAGAUGCUCCCCAUAUAUCUGUAUUUCUUUCUCGUGGCUCUGAUAGUUUCCUUCUUGUGCCUGUUAUGCAAAACAAUCAGCUGUCGGGCAUGGUUGAUGUCGUCAGCAACAUAAGCCUUGCAACACUGUAAGUAGCUUCCCACACACACACCUUGGUUCGCACUCGCACCGAAAACAAUUUUGAGCUAAUAUUAUUGGUGACUAUGCAUUCCACUCAACUUCCGCACGGUGCUUCUAAUUAAAUGAAGUUAACCAAUUGCAGAAUGGAACUGAUUCUGCAUUCCAGGCUGUUGACAAUAAACCAUCCCAAACAUGCUACCUAAUGGCUCUAGAUCAUGCUACAAACAAUUAUGGAACAAGUUGUCGCAUCUUUUUCCCUUUCUUUAUAAUAACAAUUAGAUUGAAUUUGCUUAAAAUUUCCCUUGUCCCAUUGUAAUUUCUGAAACUUAGAUUGAAUUUGCAUCUUUUCCCUUUCUUUGUUCAUUUAAUCAUUGUGUACUAACAUUUUGUCAAAUAGUUCAUGUUCAUUUAAACUUUUCUUCUAUUAGACUGAUAGUAUUUCACAUACUAUACUAAAUGAGUGUGAGUCCACUGUUCUGUUCUUUAACCUCUCUCUAGGAAGAAUCCAUGGUCUGUAUUGUUUUACUGAAAAGGGGAUGUGCUAACUUGUUGAGAUUACACAUGGCAUUUACAUUUGUAUAUGUUUUGUCCAUUUCCAUUUCUUAAAUAAAAUAUCCUUUGCAGAUUUUUAUCACAGUUUACUUCUUCAAAGCAACCAUGGAUGAAAAUUUCAGUUUAGCUGAUAUUGAGGUAGCUCUGAUCCCAAUCUUGACAGGGUCAUGUGAAUACGUUAGUGCCUUAGUGGAGAUUAUUUGAUACGACCUUCAAAGUUCAAACAUUUCUUACAAUAAUAAUUGAUAUCUGUUACUCAGAACCACAUUCGAACCUUGUAUAUGACUUAAAGGUUUUUAAUAAAACUAGACUCCACUCCACUAGGUAUGACCCCCCUAAUCCCCGUCCUCACCUUCAUGCCAUCAGUAUUUUCAUGUUAGUACACUAACUGCGCCCUCAUGUAGGCUUUCUGUGCGCUCCUGGACAAGCAAUUGCAGUUUGGAAGGAUAAGCAAUUGUGGUCUCAUGUAGGGUUUCUGUCUUCUUAUAUUUAACAACUCUUUCACCUAACAUCUUGAGGUGACUUUAGUUUCUUGUCUUUUAUAUGUAUCCUGACAUAAAACCACUGCCUAUUUUCUAUUUGUGCAUGUGCAGAUAUUUCAUAUAUUUAACAACUCUUUCACCGGACCUCUUGGGGCGACUUUACUUUCUCGUCUUUUAUGUAUCCUGGCAUGAAACCAAUGCUUAUUUUCUAUUCGUGCAUGUGCAGGUGUUGUACUGUUUCUUAUAAUUUUCCAGCAACUUUGAUUGGGAGGAAUUUUGUUUGAGCUUGUGGGCCCAAUUCAUAUCAGUUCCCUUACAGAUAUGACAGGUGUACACAUCUGACUUAACAUCACUUUUCUUAUGGACCUGUCUAAGGUGCAAAGGCCACACAAAGGGAUUUGGGGGUGAUAUAUAGAGAUCAUAGUACAUGUGGAGAAGGUUGACUAUCUUUGGUAUUUCAGCAAUGCUCUUUUGCUUCACUCAGUGUUCAAUGCAAACUUAUGUUUGAUUAUUUGUUAAAACUGUGUACGCAUUUGCUGGACCCUCGAUCCAUUUCUCCUUGUUUUGACAAUGCUGUUAUGACAAAAUUUACACUGCAUUACCAGGA